RNAcentral lists this ribosomal RNA (567 nucleotides) under uncultured archaeon. RNAcentral describes it as "bacterial SSU rRNA". It matches the Rfam family "Archaeal small subunit ribosomal RNA", at positions 326 to 897 of the family's 1478-position model. The record is from RNAcentral.
CGGGGUGCAGCAGGCGCGAAAACUUUACAAUGCGGGAAACCGUGAUAAGGGGACACCGAGUGCCAGCAUCAUAUGCUGGCUGUCCAGGUGUGUAAAAUACACCUGUUAGCAAGGGCCGGGCAAGACCGGUGCCAGCCGCCGCGGUAACACCGGCGGCCCGAGUGGUGAUCGUGAUUAUUGGGUCUAAAGGGUCCGUAGCCGGUUUGGUCAGUCCUCCGGGAAAUCUGACGGCUUAACCGUUAGGCUUUCGGGGGAUACUGCCAGGCUUGGAACCGGGAGAGGUAAGAGGUACUACAGGGGUAGGAGUGAAAUCUUGUAAUCCCUGUGAGACCACCUGUGGCGAAGGCGUCUUACCAGAACGGGUUCGACGGUGAGGGACGAAAGCUGGGGGCACGAACCGGAUUAGAUACCCGGGUAGUCCCAGCCGUAAACGAUGCUCGCUAGGUGUCAGGCAUGGCGCGACCGUGUCUGGUGCCGCAGGGAAGCCGUGAAGCGAGCCACCUGGGAAGUACGGCCGCAAGGCUGAAACUUAAAGGAAUUGGCGGGGGAGCACAAGGGCGAUUCGCG